Molecule: ribosomal RNA, 468 nt
Filed under: uncultured bacterium
Lineage: Bacteria
Description: partial 16S ribosomal RNA
Rfam family: Bacterial small subunit ribosomal RNA
Source: RNAcentral
GACGAACGCUGGCGGCGUGCUUAACACAUGCAAGUCGAACGGAAAGGCCCUGCUUUUGUGGGGUGCUCGAGUGGCGAACGGGUGAGUAACACGUGAGUAACCUGCCCUUGACUUUGGGAUAACUUCAGGAAACUGGGGCUAAUACCGGAUAGGAGCUCCUGCUGCAUGGUGGGGGUUGGAAAGUUUCGGCGGUUGGGGAUGGACUCGCGGCUUAUCAGCUUGUUGGUGGGGUAGUGGCUUACCAAGGCUUUGACGGGUAGCCGGCCUGAGAGGGUGACCGGCCACAUUGGGACUGAGGUACGGCCCAGAGUCCUACGGGAGGCAGCAGUGGGGAAUAUUGCACAAUGGGCGGAAGCCUGAUGCAGCAACGCCGCGUGCGGGAUGACGGCCUUCGGGUUGUAAACCGCUUUCGCCUGUGACGAAGCGUGAGUGACGGUAAUGGGUAAAGAAGCACCGGCUAACUACGUG